GCCUACGGGACGCAGCAGUGAGGAAUAUUGGUCAAUGGGCGAGAGCCUGAACCAGCCAAGUCGCGUGAAGGAUGACGGCCCUACGGGUUGUAAACUUCUUUUGUCAGGGAGCAAUUGGGUCCACGUGUGGGCUUAGCGAGAGUACCUGAAGAAUAAGCACCGGCUAACUACGUGCCAGCAGCCGCGGUAAUACGUAGGGUGCGAGCGUUAAUCGGAAUUACUGGGCGUAAAGGGUGCGCAGGCGGUUG
RNAcentral lists this ribosomal RNA (248 nucleotides) under uncultured bacterium. Its description in RNAcentral is "partial 16S ribosomal RNA". It matches the Rfam family "Bacterial small subunit ribosomal RNA", at positions 337 to 581 of the family's 1533-position model. The record is from RNAcentral.